RNAcentral lists this ribosomal RNA (459 nucleotides) under uncultured bacterium. Its description in RNAcentral is "partial 16S ribosomal RNA". It matches the Rfam family "Bacterial small subunit ribosomal RNA", at positions 338 to 795 of the family's 1533-position model. The record is from RNAcentral.
CCUACGGGAGGCAGCAGUGAGGAAUAUUGGUCAAUGGGAGAGAUCCUGAACCAGCCAAGCCGCGUGAGGGAAGACGGCCCUCUGGGCUGUAAACCUCUUUUGUCGGAGAACAAAACCCGGGACGUGUCCCGGACCGCGUCUAUCCGAAGAAAAAGCAUCGGCAAACUCCGCCCCAGCCGCCGCGGUAAUACGGGGGAUGCGAGCGUUAUCCGGAUUUAUUGGGUUUAAAGGGUGCGUAGGCGGUCCGUUAAGUCAGCGGUAAAAUUGCGGGGCUCAACCCCGUCGAGCCGUUGAAACUGGCAGACGUGAGUUGGCGAGAAGUACGCGGAAUGCGCGGUGUAGCGGUGAAAUGCAUAGAUAUCGCGCAGAACUCCGGUUGCGAAGGCAGCGUACCGGCGCCAGACUGACGCUGAGGCACGAAAGCGUGGGGAGCGAACAGGAUUAGAUACCCCUGUAGUC